Bombyx mori (domestic silkworm) is the source of this 1088-nucleotide long non-coding RNA. RefSeq lists it as uncharacterized. NCBI's taxonomy places the organism in Eukaryota, Metazoa, Arthropoda, Insecta, Lepidoptera, Bombycidae. The transcript is spliced from 2 exons. The record is from RefSeq and is a predicted model, not a curated record.
AAGAGGCGUAUGAAGAUAAAGCUUUACGCUUCGUUCUUUACAACACGGGUAAACACGUGAUGCAAUAAUAAUGUUGAGAGUGUAAGAUUUUGAAAUAGUUUAUCAUACGAUAAUGUUAAAGUAUUCGAAAAAACGCACGUAAUUUUGCAAAGCACUCCGCGAUCACGUUGGAAUGUGGCCCAAACAUUGGUCAGGCGACUGUCGCGUGAAUACGUACGCUGACACGCCAAGUAUACUUGCGUGUGUGCGGGCAUGUUUAUGUGUAAAUUGUAUAUCAGUUCUAAGCAUGUGUAUUCCUAAACGAUAUUCUUAUGCAUGUAUGAGUGAUGCGUUGUAUAUACAUGAUUUUUAACGAAGGCAAACACAGACGUGUUGUGGCAUGAUUGUACGAGUCUUUACGGCUUUUUUAAUUCAGGUCAAUACUUGUUUAGCAGUUUAAUAUUUAUUCUAUUUGUAAAUACUUUACUUAAAUUCAAAUGAUAUGUUUAAUUUAUAUCUUAAACUAUAAAAAGAAGUUUGAAGAUAUUUAAUUAAUAGUUUUUCGAAUGUAAAACUGAAGUUGUUUUUUAAAUUAUCAUUUUUACAAUAAAUUCUUCAUAAAUUUCUCCACAAUGAACACCAAGCAGAAGCGUAAAUCCUAAAAGUGUUUUCAAAACUCAUACAAUAAUUUGUUGAUGAAAUAUACAUAGGGUACUAUGAGGUGUACGUUUGUAGCCUAAGGGGCUGCUAUUCCUGCUAUCCACGGACGGGUAGGUGAGCUCACGGGAUCAACCUGAGAGAAUUUGAGAAAAUUCGAACCGACAAAAUUUGAACCUGAGAAAAUAAAUACUAGCCCUAGCAAGAGCAAUGUUUCGCAGUAGGUAUCUACCACCGGAUCGGAUUCGCGGUUAUUGUGUCUGUAAGUGGUAAAUAUAGAAUCCUUUGCAUGGGCGACGGUAACCACUCACCAUCAGGUGGGCUGUAUGCUCGUCUGCCUACAAGGGCAAUAAAAAAAAAUGCAUGUUCUAUGCCAUUAAGUUAAUCUUCUAUAUAAUAAGUUAUAAACUAUGAUGGAUUAGAGCUAACACAAAUAAAAUAACAGAACAAUG